AGAUACCCCGUGUAGUCCAGGGUGUAAACGCUGCAGACUUGGUGUUGGAAGUCCCUUUUGGGGGGCAUUCAGUGCCGGAGAGAAGUUGUUAAGUCUGCUACUUGGGAGUACGUCCGCAAGGAUGAAACUUAAAGGAAUUGGCGGGGAGCACCGCAACGGGAGGAGCGUGCGGUUUAAUUGGAUUCAACACCGUAAAACUCACCAGGGAAGACUGUUACAUGAAAGCCGAGAUGAAGACUCUGCUAGAUUUUCAG
This 254-nucleotide ribosomal RNA is filed under the name uncultured archaeon. Its description in RNAcentral is "partial 16S ribosomal RNA". It matches the Rfam family "Archaeal small subunit ribosomal RNA", at positions 731 to 982 of the family's 1478-position model. The record is from RNAcentral.